Bos taurus (domestic cattle) is the source of this 396-nucleotide long non-coding RNA. The record is from Ensembl. Lineage: Eukaryota; Metazoa; Chordata; Mammalia; Artiodactyla; Bovidae.
CUUACACACCAGGAGGGCCCAUCUUCUAGCAGCAUGUCUUGUGGGCCCUGAGCCCCACGGAGCUUGCUCUCCUCCUGCAUUCACCGCUCAGCCCUCUGGCUCAUGCCACUUGCCCAGCACAUCCUGGGAGUCCUCAGUGGGGUAUGCUGGAGGGCGCAGCGCCCUGUGCGCCUGACUCGAGCUCACCAUGAGCUCCCCAUCUGCCUUCCUGUAUCAUCACCACGGAGGGAGGCUUUGCUCCCAGGCACCCAACCAACAACAAGGACGUGCUUCCCCGCCACUCUCCUCUCCUCCUCCAGGAGGCCAUCAUCCUCUCAACCUCAUCCCCAGAUCCAGUCCCACCUUGCUGGGAGACGAGGCAGGGAAAGCACAAUGGAGGAUGGACAACCAAGAAAA